UGGCGAACGGGUGAGUAACACGUGGGACAACCUGCCCAAAAGAGGGGGAUAACACUUGGAAACAGGUGCUAAUACCGCAUAACCAUAGUUACCGCAUGGUAACUAUGUAAAAGGUGGCUAUGCUACCGCUUUUGGAUGGGCCCGCGACGCAUUAGCUAGUUGGUGGGGUAAAGGCUUACCAAGGCAAUGAUGCGUAGCCGAACUGAGAGGUUGAUCGGCCACAUUGGGACUGAGACACGGCCCAAACUCCUACGGAAGGCAGCAG
RNAcentral lists this ribosomal RNA (265 nucleotides) under uncultured bacterium. Its description in RNAcentral is "partial 16S ribosomal RNA". It matches the Rfam family "Bacterial small subunit ribosomal RNA", at positions 96 to 354 of the family's 1533-position model. The record is from RNAcentral.